CUCUGCAAACACGAAAGUGGACGUAUAGGGUGUGACGCCUGCCCGGUGCUGGAAGAUUAAAUGAUGGGGUGCAAGCUCUUGACUGAAGUCCCCAGUAAACGGCGGCCGUAACAAUAACGGUCCUAAGGUAGCGAAAUUUCCUUGUCGGGUAAGUUCCGACCCGCACGAAUGGCGUAACGAUGGCCACACUGUCUCCUCCUGAGACUCAGCGAAGUUGAAAUGUUUGUGAAGAUGCAAUCUCCCCGCUGCUAGACGGAAAGACCCCGUGAACCUUUACUGUAGCUUUGCAUUGGACUUUUGAACAGACUUGUGUAGGAUAGGUGGGGAGGCUUUUGAAGUGGGAACGCCAGUUCUCAUGGAGCCGUCCUUGAAAUACCACCCUGGUGUGUUUUGAGGUUCUAACCUAGGUCCGUAAUCCGGAUCGGGGACCGUGCAUGGUAGGCAGUUUGACUGGGGCGGGUCUCCUCCCAAAGUGUAACGGAGGAGCUCGAAGGUCUCCUAGGUACGGUCGGACAUCGUACUGAUAGUGUAAUGGCAUAAGGAGGCUU
Molecule: ribosomal RNA, 548 nt
Filed under: uncultured bacterium
Lineage: Bacteria
Description: bacterial LSU rRNA
Rfam family: Bacterial large subunit ribosomal RNA
Source: RNAcentral